AGUUGAACGGGAUUUGUAUGGUGCUUGCACCAUGUAAUGAGAGUAGCGCACUGGUGAGUAACACGUGGGAACAUACCUUGAAGUGGGGGACAACAGUUGGAAACGACUGCUAAUACCGCAUAAUCCCUGAGGGGAAAAGAUUUAUCGCUUUAAGAUUGGCCCGCGGAAGAUUAGGUAGUUGGUGGGGUAAAGGCCUACCAAGCCGACGAUCUAUAGCUGGUCUGAGAGGACGAACAGCCACAUUGGAACUGAGACACGGUCCAGACUCCUACGGGAGGCAGCAGUGAGGAAUAUUGGGCAAUGGAGGAAACUCUGACCCAGCCAUGCCGCGUGAGUGAAGAAGGUUUUCGAAUUGUAAAGCUCUUUCGGAUGGGACGAUGAUGACGGUACCAUCUAAAGAAGCCCCGGCAAACUUCGUGCCAGCAGCCGCGGUAAUACGAAGGGGGCAAGCGUUGUUCGGAAUUACUGGGCGUAAAGGGUGUGUAGGCGGAUUUGUAAGAUAGUGGUGAAAUACCUGAGCUCAACUUAGGAAUUGCCAUUAUAACUAUAGAUCUGGAGUGACAGAGAGGAUAUUGGAAUACCCAGUGUAGAGGUGAAAUUCGUAGAUAUUGGGUAGAACACCAGUGGCGAAGGCGAGUAUCUGGCUGUCAACUGACGCUGAGGCACGAAAGCAUGGGGAUCAAACAGGAUUAGAUACCCUGGUAGUCCAUGCUGUAAACGAUGAAUGCUAGUUGUCGGCAAAAGCCGGUGACGCAGUUAACGCGAUAAGCAUUCCGCCUGGGGAGUACGGUCGCAAGAUUAAAACUCAAAGGAAUUGACGGGGACCCGCACAAG
This 834-nucleotide ribosomal RNA is filed under the name uncultured bacterium. RNAcentral describes it as "bacterial SSU rRNA". It matches the Rfam family "Bacterial small subunit ribosomal RNA", at positions 60 to 929 of the family's 1533-position model. The record is from RNAcentral.